UUCCCAUCCCUGGGAUAUGUUAGCAUGCAAAGCAGCGCAGAGUGCGCAAGACUGCUCCAGCUAUUUGAAAUAAACCUGGAAGGGACCAGAACUGAAUCGGAAAUCCAAGUCUUUGUGUGGGGAUUGAUUGACGCACUCAGGACCAGAAUGCUGACAGAUCACAUGAACUCUUCCGCUCUGACUGUGGUUUGCAGCCUCUCAUUGCACUGUCAUUUUCACCACUGUGUUUCCCGCCGCGUUUCCUCCAGCACAGCUCUGUCUUCAGGUUUCUUUUAUCCGGUUCUGAUUUCCCUACUGCAGAUUGCCUCUGGGAGGUAUAUGUCUGGUGUCUGUCUCCUGUGCGUGUGUGGGCAUGUACACGUGAGGGCAGAGUCCAUUCGGCCUUCCCCUCUUGUUCCCCACUUUGCCUUUUGACACAGGGUCUCCCACCGAAGCUGUAGCUCGCUGUAGUUUUGGCUAGAUUGGAUGGCUAGAGAGCCCUUGGGGUCCACAUAUCUCUUCCCGCUUGGGGCUGGGGAUCAGUCUUCAUCAUGGAUGCAAUGCAAAAUCCAUGCCCGUUUUAAAAAUUAUUCUGUCUUCU
This 580-nucleotide long non-coding RNA is filed under the name Cricetulus griseus (Chinese hamster). Its description in RNAcentral is "lncRNA (ENSCGRG00015030434.1)". Lineage: Eukaryota; Metazoa; Chordata; Mammalia; Rodentia; Cricetidae. The record is from RNAcentral.